AAUAUUCCAUUGUUUGUAUAUACUACACUCCAUUCGUCCAUUCAUCUGUUGAUAGACAUUUGGGUUGUUUCCGCCUUUUGGUUGCCGUGAAUAGUAUUGCCAUGCAUAUUCCUGUACAGGUAUUUGAGUACCUCUUUUCAGUUCUUUUGGAUAUAUACCCAGGUGUGGGGUUGCUCAGCCAUCUGGUAAUUCUGUGUGUAACUAUUUGAGGAGUCUUUUUUGAUUCUUGACACUGCAUUUCAAGGAGAUAUUAUCCAACUUUUAUGGGAAAGAAGAUGUGAGCUCAGAAAGAUAGGACUCAUUUCUUCAAAGUCACCCAAUGCUGUGGUCUGAAUGUUUUGUGUCCCCUCCAAAAUUUGUACAUUCAUAUCUUGAAAUCCUAAUGCCCAAUGUGAUGGUGUUAGGAGGUGGGGCCAUUGGGAGGUGAGCCCUUAUGUAUAGGAUUAGUGCCCUUUUAAAAGCAGGUCCAGCAAGAUCCCUAGCACUGUAGCCAAGUGAGGACAAAAUAAGAAGUCUGUGACCUGGAAGAGGGCUCUCACCCAACCCUGCUGGCACCUUGAUCUCAGACUUACAGGCUCCAGAACUGUGAGAAAUCAACUUCUUUUUUUAUCAGCCAUCCAGUCUUUGGUAUUUUGUUAUAGCAUCCCGAGUGGCCCAAGACCCCCAGCCAGAGAGCAGUACAGCUGGAAGUCACAGCACCUUACACGCCCACUCUUCCAUCUCAUCCUCCCCAAAAUACCUGAGAUAGAUGGUUGCCGUUUUCAGAUGAAGAAACAGUCCCAUAAGUUAAGUGACUUGCUGAGGAUACAAUUAAUUUCAGGAGACGUUUUCAUUCCAUUUAGAAACCAGACCUUAUCAUUGAUUAUUUAGAUGUGUUUCUUUUCCUUUCCUUAGGCCUUACAAUCUGGUGACAUGCCAAGAGAAUGCAAUGGGAUCAGAUACCUAUGUUGAAACACUAAGCCCAAAUGUGGCUGAAGAUGGAGCCUCUAAAGAAUGACUCUUGGAAAUUGAUGCCCCAGACAACUCCUAGCUCCUUCAAACCCAGAUUCUACGAUGAUAACUAAACAACUUGCAACGAGAAGAUGCGUAAGUUCUGGCGACCUGAUGCACAGCAUAAGGAUUAUAGUCGAUACUGCUAUAUUAUAUACUUCAGAGUUCUAAAAGAGUAGAUCUUAAAUGUUCUCACCACGGAAGAGAAAUGAUAAUUCUGUGAUGCGAUAGAGAUACUAUUGAAAGCUAUGGUGGUUAUCAUAUUACUGUAUAUAAGUGUAUCAACCAAUAUGAUGUACACCUUUAACUUAUACAAUGUUAUAUAUCCGUUAUAUUUUGAUAAAAACAAAA
Non-coding RNA from Delphinapterus leucas (beluga whale), 1341 nucleotides. The record is from RefSeq and is a predicted model, not a curated record. Lineage: Eukaryota; Metazoa; Chordata; Mammalia; Artiodactyla; Monodontidae.